CUACGGGAGGCAGCAGUGGGGAAUCUUGCACAAUGGGGGAAACCCUGAUGCAGCGACGCCGCGUGAGCGAUGAAGCCCUUCGGGGCGUAAAGCUCUUUCGGCAGGGACGAUAAUGACGGUACCUGCAGAAGCAGCUGCGGCUAACUACGUGCCAGCAGCCGCGGUAAUACGUAGGCAGCGAGCGUUGUUCGGAGUUACUGGGCGUAAAGGGUGUGUAGGCGGUCGUUUAAGUUUGGUGUGAAAUCUCCCGGCUCAACUGGGAGGGUGCGCCGAAUACUGAGCGGCUAGAGUGCGGGAGAGGAGAGUGGAAUUCCUGGUGUAGCGGUGAAAUGCGUAGAUAUCAGGAGGAACACCGGCGGUGUAAACGGCUCUCUGGACCGCAACUGACGCUGAGACACGAAAGCGUGGGUAGCAAACAGGAUUAGAUACCCUGGUAGG
This 438-nucleotide ribosomal RNA is filed under the name uncultured bacterium. RNAcentral's name for it is "bacterial SSU rRNA". It matches the Rfam family "Bacterial small subunit ribosomal RNA", at positions 339 to 794 of the family's 1533-position model. The record is from RNAcentral.